RNAcentral lists this long non-coding RNA (400 nucleotides) under Carica papaya (papaya). RNAcentral's name for it is "long non-coding RNA (CPAP_LNC000980)". Lineage: Eukaryota; Viridiplantae; Streptophyta; Magnoliopsida; Brassicales; Caricaceae. The record is from RNAcentral.
AAUAAAUAAUUUUAUUUAUGAUAAAUGAAUUUACUUAAUUUAUGAGCUCAGUUGGUUGUUUUUAUGAUUUUUACCGACUUUUAUUUUUAUGUCGGUGAGUAGUGUGAUAUUCUUACUGGACUAGUGUAACUCACCCUUUGAUGAACAAUUUCAGAUCAAGAGGACUAAGAUUCAGAUCCCGAUCAGCAAGGGGUUGUGAAUAGUUUACUACCCGGACUUCCUUCAAAGGCUAGUGAAGGUCGUUCUAGGAUACCUAAUUGUUUACUUUUUAUUUACUUUUUUGAUUUUUCACUUGUUCUUUUAGAAAGAUCAUUCCCGUAGACCUAUUGGAUAUUCUAAAUUAUUGUGUAAGAAAUGUAAACCUUAACUCUAUUAUUUCGUUUUCGCAUUUAAUUUAUAA